RNAcentral lists this ribosomal RNA (491 nucleotides) under uncultured archaeon. RNAcentral describes it as "bacterial SSU rRNA". It matches the Rfam family "Archaeal small subunit ribosomal RNA", at positions 85 to 560 of the family's 1478-position model. The record is from RNAcentral.
ACGGCUCAGUAACACGUAGCUAACCUACCCUCAGGACGGAGACAACCCCGGGAAACUGGGGUUAAUCCCCGAUAGGCGUGGAUUCCUGGAAUGGUGUCACGCCGAAACGUUAACACACCAUGUUUGUGUACACGCCUGAGGAUGGGGCUGCGGCCGAUCAGGCAGUUGGUGAGGUAACGGCUCACCAAACCUUUGACCGGUACGGGCCGUGAGAGCGGUAGCCCGGAGAUGGACACUGAGACAAGGGUCCAGGACCUACGGGUCGCAGCCGGUACGAAACCUCCACAAUGCACGCAAGUGCGAUGGGGUUACCUCGAGUGCCGCCUGAAGAAGGCGGCUUUUCCAUUGUGUAAUGAGCCGUGGGAAUAAGGGGGGGGCAAGACUGGUGUCAGCCGCCGCGGUAACACCAGCCCCCCGAGUGGUGGGGAUGUUUAUUUGGCCUAAAACGUCCGUAGCCAGCUAGGUAAAUCUCUCGUUAAAUCCAGCGUCCA